UACAGAGGGUGCAAACGUUGCUCGGAAUUAUUAGGCGUAAAGCGCGUGUAGGCGGCUUGUUAAGUUGGUUGUGAAAACCCAUGGCUCAACCAUGGAAGGGCGUCCAAAACUGGCAAGCUAGAGUCCCGACGAGGAUGGCGGAAUUCCCAGUGUAGAGGUGAAAUUCGUAGAUAUUGGGAGGAACACCGGUGGCGAAGGCGGCCAUCUGGGAGGGCACUGACGCUGAGACGCGAAAGCGUGGGGAGCAAACAGG
Molecule: ribosomal RNA, 253 nt
Filed under: uncultured bacterium
Lineage: Bacteria
Description: partial 16S ribosomal RNA
Rfam family: Bacterial small subunit ribosomal RNA
Source: RNAcentral